This 450-nucleotide ribosomal RNA is filed under the name uncultured bacterium. RNAcentral's name for it is "partial 16S ribosomal RNA". It matches the Rfam family "Bacterial small subunit ribosomal RNA", at positions 354 to 796 of the family's 1533-position model. The record is from RNAcentral.
GUGGGGAAUUUUGGACAAUGGGCGCAAGCCUGAUCCAGCCAUGCCGCGUGCAGGAUGAAGGCCUUCGGGUUGUAAACUGCUUUUGUACGGAACGAAAAAGCUCUCUCUAAUACAGGGGGUGAAUGACGGUACCGUAAGAAUAAGCACCGGCUAACUACGUGCCAGCAGCCGCGGUAAUACGUAGGGUGCGAGCGUUAAUCGGAAUUACUGGGCGUAAAGCGUGCGCAGGCGGUGAUGUAAGACAGUUGUGAAAUCCCCGGGCUCAACCUGGGAACUGCAUCUGUGACUGCAUUGCUGGAGUGCGGCAGAGGGGGAUGGAAUUCCGCGUGUAGCAGUGAAAUGCGUAGAUAUGCGGAGGAACACCGAUGGCGAAGGCAAUCCCCUGGGCCUGCACUGACGCUCAUGCACGAAAGCGUGGGGAGCAAACAGGAUUAGAUACCCCAGUAGUCC